GAUGAAGAACGCAGCGAAAUGCGAUAAGUAGUGUGAAUUGCAGAAUUCAGUGAAUCAUCGAAUCUUUGAACGCACAUUGCGCCCCUUGGUAUUCCCUGGGGCAUGCCUGUUCGAGCGUCAUUUGUACCUUCAAGCUCUGCUUGGUGUUGGGUGUUUGUCUCGCCUCUGCGUGUAGACUCGCCUCAAAACAAUUGGCAGCCGGCGUAUUGAUUUCGGAGCGCAGUACAUCUCGCGCUUUGCACUCAUAACGACGACGUCCAAAAGUACAUUUUUACACUCUUGACCUCGGAUCAGGUAGGGAUACCCGCUGAACUUAAGCAUAUCAAUAGCGGAGGA
RNAcentral lists this unclassified non-coding RNA (336 nucleotides) under soil metagenome. Its description in RNAcentral is "partial contains 5.8S ribosomal RNA, internal transcribed spacer 2, and large subunit ribosomal RNA". The stretch from base 1 to 120 matches the Rfam family "5.8S ribosomal RNA", at positions 35 to 154 of the family's 154-position model. The record is from RNAcentral.